This 406-nucleotide long non-coding RNA is filed under the name Androctonus crassicauda. The record is from RNAcentral. Lineage: Eukaryota; Metazoa; Arthropoda; Arachnida; Scorpiones; Buthidae.
GUUUGGAAUGAUGACUGGGCAAAAGGAUGGUUUUCGAUACACCGAAGUCUCAUAUUUGCUGUCUUUUGCUUUAAUUUUUACAGAGGAAGUAUUAAAAAGGUUACAGAACAGACGGCACAACCCAGGUGAAAUAAUAGCCACUUACAAUUUUAAGAGUCUGUACUCGUCCAUUAGGCUAGAAGCUACAUGUUCGGCUUUCUACAGAUUCAUGCUGAGAAAUCUACCAAUGCAGGGAAAAUAGCGGCAAUCUUGAGAGAUCUUUCCCAUACAAUUUGUCAUGAGUCGUACUUUACUUUUAGGAAGAAAUUCUACAAACAACGGGUUCCCAUAGGAAGCCCCAUAGCAGGUACACUAGCAGAGAUCCUAAUAAGAGAAGUCGAAGAGAAAGUAAUAAAGGAGCUGCAAG